UACGUAGGGGGCAAGCGUUUGUCCGGAAUUAUUGGGCGUAAAGCGCGCGCAGGCGGUUAUUUUAAGUCUGGUGUUUUAAACCUUGGGCUCAACCUGGGGUCGCACUGGAAACUGGGUAACUUGAGUACAGAAGAGGAAAGUGGAAUUUCCACGUGUAGCGGUGAAAUGCGUAGAGAUGUGGAGGAACACCAGUGGCGAAGGCGACUUUCUGGGCU
Molecule: ribosomal RNA, 215 nt
Filed under: uncultured bacterium
Lineage: Bacteria
Description: partial 16S ribosomal RNA
Rfam family: Bacterial small subunit ribosomal RNA
Source: RNAcentral